Molecule: long non-coding RNA, 393 nt
Filed under: Nicotiana benthamiana
Lineage: Eukaryota; Viridiplantae; Streptophyta; Magnoliopsida; Solanales; Solanaceae
Description: long non-coding RNA (NBEN_LNC022206)
Source: RNAcentral
GGGUUUUAGAUUGAUACCCUCAAGCGGACAAUUUGAGGGGGAAGGCACAAAAUCGUCGACUGCACCGCUGAUCGACUGGUUUUACCGCAAAUAAGCCUUUUCGAAUUUAAGGUGGUAAAUAGGUAGAACGCAACCACUCAUUAAAGCAUUGCUAUAGGAUUUGAGACUUACAAGUGGAAUAUAAUACGAAGCAUGAUUUAUGCAUCAAUUAAUAACAUGUAGCUAGGUAUUUUCACGUAGGAAAAAUAAAUACGACAUUUAAAUAAUUGAAAGACAGUUACAGGAAAAAGGAAAUAAGGAGACAAGUCAGUUUCAAGGCAAUAAAGAAAUCAUAAAUGCUUGAAAAAUAGACAGCUAAAUCCAAAUAAGGGAGUAGGGCACGGGAUAAGCAUG